RNAcentral lists this ribosomal RNA (472 nucleotides) under uncultured bacterium. RNAcentral describes it as "bacterial SSU rRNA". It matches the Rfam family "Bacterial small subunit ribosomal RNA", at positions 355 to 825 of the family's 1533-position model. The record is from RNAcentral.
UGGGGAAUUUUGGACAAUGGGCGCAAGCCUGAUCCAGCCAUGCCGCGUGCGGGAAGAAGGCCUUCGGGUUGUAAACCGCUUUUGUCAGGGAAGAAACGCUCUGGGCUAAUACCCUGGGGUAAUGACGGUACCUGAAGAAUAAGCACCGGCUAACUACGUGCCAGCAGCCGCGGUAAUACGUAGGGUGCAAGCGUUAAUCGGAAUUACUGGGCGUAAAGCGUGCGCAGGCGGUUAUGCAAGACAGAUGUGAAAUCCCCGGGCUCAAUCUGGGAACUGCAUUUGUGACUGUAUAGCUAGAGUACGGUAGAGGGGGAUGGAAUUCCGCGUGUAGCAGUGAAAUGCGUAGAUAUGCGGAGGAACACCGAUGGCGAAGGCAAUCCCCUGGACCUGUACUGACGCUCAUGCACGAAAGCGUGGGGAGCAAACAGGAUUAGAUACCCUGGUAGUCCCUGAGCGGGCUGGCAAGGCGCAU